GUGUUUGCUCACAGUGUGAGGCAUAUAAACCUAUCUUCUCACCGCAUCUCCAUUUGUCAGUUUAGUAUCGCGAAUUAUUCGCCACUUCCUAGACGCUCACCAAAAUGUCGAAAAUUAGCGCUGCUCAGCGUCUUCGAGGACUCUCGACCAGCUCGAUCUGGGAGGAGAUGACACCGCUAGCCAACAAGCACAACGCAGUCAACCUCGGUCAGGGCUUUCCUAGCUUCGCUCCUCCUAGGCUUCUACUUGAAGAGCUGGAGAAAGUCCUCCAAUAUAGUGAACAGGCGCCUCUUGCUCACCAGUACUGCCCUCCUCGCGGUAACGUGGAGCUCGUCACGCAGCUGUGCAAAAGUUACACGAAGCUUCUCUCCCAAGAUAUUCAGCCCUCCAACGUGGUUGUGACGAAUGGCGUGACGCAGGCUCUUAACGCCAUAUUCCAGGCUUUUGUCAAUCAAGGCGACGAAGUCGUCCUUGUCGAGCCUUUCUACGAUGCCUACUACCAGGACAUCUUUAUCACUGGCGGGGUAACGAAGUAUGUCUCUCUCCAGCCCUCCACGGAAUCGGCUGAGAACUGGAAGCUGACCCGUGAGGCGCUUCUUGAGGUUGUUAACGAAAAUACAAAGUUUAUUCUCAUCAACACGCCUCAGAAUGUUCCCGGCAAGGUCUGGAACGUCGAGGAGCUUCAAAUUAUCGCAGAAGUUGCGAAGCAGUUUGACGUUGUCGUCAUCUCAGAUGAGGUGUACAUGUAUCUUACCUACGGCAAGCCCCAUGUUUCCAUCGCAUCAUUGCCAGACAUGUGGGAGCGCACUGUUACGCUUUGCAGUGCUGGAAAAACUUUCUCGUGCACUGGAUGGAAAAUUGGGUGGGCUGUGGGCUGCGCUAAGCUGACUGCGCCGAUUGCACAAGUUGUCUCCUACCAGUCGUUCUGCUGCUCUACACCGUUCCAGAUUGCCAUCGCCAGGGCUGCUGCAAAGGCUUCGGAAAACGGUUUCUACGACAUCCUGCGCGACGAAUACGCAGCACGCGUGGAGCAGGUGUCAAACAUGCUCGCGGCCAGCGGCUUAUGCCCGGUCAAGCCCCAGGGUGGUUUUUUUGUUCUCGCCGACAUCACAAAAGUGGAUCCGAAGCACUAUUACGAUGCCUCAAACAAGUCACAGGCAAAGGACUGGCAAUUCUGUAUGUGGCUUACAAAGAAAAUUGGCGUUUGCGCCAUUCCUGUGACGGCUUUCUGCCAAGAGGAGAGCAAGCCGCUUUACGAGAAUUAUGUCCGCUUCGCCUGCUGCAGGUCACAGAGCGAGCUGCAUGCUGCAGCUGAGAGGCUUCAGAAGCUGCAGGACUAUCUUCUCUGAAGCUGGUCUGCGCAAAACUUUUGUGUCGCCGUACCUCCCUUCUUUGCAAGUUAGAAUAUCAGGUGCUUAGCUUUUAUUAUUCCUCUUUCGUUUUUCAAGUGAAUCAGAUUCUUUCUUCUUCCAAGGCACUCAUUUUGUAGUUCUUGUUACCCCCUUCACUAGUAUGAGUUGUAAGCGCCUGCGCAUGACGUGUUUUUUCUUUUUUUUUUUUGGUUGUCUGACCACUGAAGUUCUUUAGAUGCUGCUUCAUUUCUUGCGAUCACGUUAGUCAGAGGAAGGAAAAGAAAAACGGUGCUGCUUGCACAUCGAAAGAAGCCUCAUUGAGUGCAUCCCACAGGCUUCAAGAGCACAAUAGCAGUUUUUUUUUUACCACUACUUUCCCUCCGUUUUUUCCCCGUGGUCGUAACAGCUUCUUUUUUCAGCAACUGCGACUUCACUGAAACUAGCUGCAUUCUCAGCCUUUCCGUCACGCCCGCCUGUCUCG
Molecule: unclassified non-coding RNA, 1833 nt
Filed under: Leishmania donovani
Lineage: Eukaryota; Euglenozoa; Kinetoplastea; Trypanosomatida; Trypanosomatidae
Description: gene:LdHU3.33.2110(CDS-product:glutamine_aminotra nsferase_putative)
Source: RNAcentral